GACGAACGCUGGCGGCGUGCUUAACACAUGCAGGUCGAACGAGAAUCUGUGGAUUGAGGAUUCGUCCAAAUGAAGCAGAGGACAGUGGCGGACGGGUGAGUAACGCGUGAGGAACCUGCCUUUCAGAGGGGGACAACAGUUGGAAACGACUGCUAAUACCGCAUAACGCGUAGAGGUCGCAUGGCCUUUACGCCAAAGAUUUAUCGCUGAAAGAUGGCCUCGCGUCUGAUUAGCUAGUUGGUGAGGUAACGGCCCACCAAGGCGACGAUCAGUAGCCGGACUGAGAGGUUGAACGGCCACAUUGGGACUGAGAUACGGCCCAGACUCCUACGGAGGCAGCAGUGGGGAAUAUUGGGCAAUGGGCGCAAGCCUGACCCAGCAAUGCCGCGUGAAGGAAGAAGGCUUUCGGGUUGUAAACUUCUUUGUCAGGGACGAGUAGAAGACGGUACCUGACGAAUAAGCCAACGGCUAACUACGUGCCAGCAGCCGCGG
RNAcentral lists this ribosomal RNA (492 nucleotides) under uncultured bacterium. RNAcentral's name for it is "bacterial SSU rRNA". It matches the Rfam family "Bacterial small subunit ribosomal RNA", at positions 28 to 520 of the family's 1533-position model. The record is from RNAcentral.